RNAcentral lists this ribosomal RNA (508 nucleotides) under uncultured bacterium. RNAcentral's name for it is "partial 16S ribosomal RNA". It matches the Rfam family "Bacterial small subunit ribosomal RNA", at positions 28 to 523 of the family's 1533-position model. The record is from RNAcentral.
GAUGAACGCUAGCUACAGGCUUAACACAUGCAAGUCGAGGGGAAACGAUAUUGGAAGCUUGCUUCCGAUAGACGUCGACCGGCGCACGGGUGAGUAACGCGUAUCCAACCUGCCCAUCACUUGGGGAUAACCUUGCGAAAGUAAGACUAAUACCCAAUGAUAUCUCUAGAAGACAUCUGAAGGAGAUUAAAGAUUCAUCGGUGAUGGAUGGGGAUGCGUCUGAUUAGCUUGUUGGCGGGGUAACGGCCCACCAAGGCGACGAUCAGUAGGGGUUCUGAGAGGAAGGUCCCCCACAUUGGAACUGAGACACGGUCCAAACUCCUACGGGAGGCAGCAGUGAGGAAUAUUGGUCAAUGGACGAGAGUCUGAACCAGCCAAGUAGCGUGCAGGAUGACGGCCCUAUGGGUUGCAAACUGCUUUUAUAAGGGAAUAAAGUGAGUCUCGUGAGACUUUUUGCAUGUACCUUAUGAAUAAGGACCGGCUAAUUCCGUGCCAGCCGCCGCGGUAA